Long non-coding RNA from Ornithodoros turicata, 1092 nucleotides. RefSeq lists it as uncharacterized. The transcript has 4 exons. Lineage: Eukaryota; Metazoa; Arthropoda; Arachnida; Ixodida; Argasidae. The record is from RefSeq and is a predicted model, not a curated record.
UUUGUCGGUAGCAUGUUUAAGAGGCAAGAAGAACUCUAUGUGUCACCGUGUCCAUCAUCGUCACUCUCGGUUUACCUUGUGUCAGAGCUGGACACUGCCCUUACUUCAGUCCCCUCUUCCGACAUUGUCUGCAAAGGCAUGUGUUUCCCUUGUGCUCAGAAGCAUGCCUUUUUCCCACUUUUUCACGCGUGCUCUCGGCAAACCUAAAUAUGCCUGUCUGGCAUUCACAUGACGUGGACGGCAUUUAGUCAGUACAAUUCAUAUUCUUGUCGAAGUACUGUCAUUGUACUGUAAUUUUAAUAGUCAUCACGUGGAUCAGUAGAGACCCAAAAUGAAUAAAGAGUGACUGAGAGACGUAAAAUAGUUGUGUCUGUCCAUUGCUUUGCGCGGCCUGUGCCUUCCUUGCUUUGUUACUCGAACUCAGGCGUGCUCAUCACAGGUUUCUACCAAUCCCUUGCCUCUGUCCAUGUCAUCUUACAAGCACUAUGCAGCUUCGUUUGAUUUGCUUUGAAGUUGCAGCAGCCUACUUUGCCAAUGGUGUUCUACGCAUUUUGUAUUGACUGUAUAUACUUUGUACAUACAUAAUUCUAGUUUCCAUGUGGUUGAAUUCCGAGACCGGAGUACGUAUGUUGUCUCCUCCCGGUGGGUAACUGAAACGGUUGCUGGAUUAGUCGUGCUAUGGCCAGAGCGGGUAUCGAAGCUGCAGCUGGCGAAACUUCUAAGAACCCAUCAGCCUCCAAGUAACACGUGGGAGCCCAACCACAUUCGCAUACUGCACACAACAGACAAUAUUGAUGAAGCAUUUGACGUCUUGUGCACGGCCGAGGAUACAUCAAACUUUGAAGACAGAGAAAGUCAGAAAAAAACAAGGAAAGACCGGAAGCGAGUCGUACUGUCUGAGAGUGAAAAUGAUCUAACAGAACACGAAGUGCCUAAAGGAAAGAAGAGAGGCUUUCACUAUGCUCCAAAGAAGAUUCCUCCUCCGCCACAGUUGCCACUUCGAUCGUGCAAGCCCCGCCACAGCAUUACUCAGCCACAAGACUCGAGGCAGAUGUACAGAUCAACAGUGCCUGCAGCCGCAUCACAGAUUGC